Molecule: long non-coding RNA, 748 nt
Organism: Pollicipes pollicipes
Lineage: Eukaryota; Metazoa; Arthropoda; Thecostraca; Pollicipedomorpha; Pollicipedidae
Exons: 2
Source: RefSeq, a predicted model, not a curated record
UCUAAGCCUGGCUAUAUGUUUUUCGCGGAAAGGUAUUGGAUAAACUUGCGAUCGAUGGUUGAAAGGUAAUCUCCCAGAAAAUCUAACGUAUUUUCACUUUACUUUCGAAUUGUUCAUCGCACCCGGAUCGAAAUUGUUUUUUGAGCACCCGCAAUGCCGAGACGCCGAAACCGCUCACCGAGAGUGCGACCCGGACCAGACCCUGCAGGGGACGCCAUUGGAAAUGUCGAAGCAGUCGUGCCUGAUGGCGCCCCUGAGUGCGACUGCGAAGACUGCAGGAUGUCUGUACCUGGCCCAGAACCCUCGAAAUUGACAGCUCAGAAGACCAAGGGUUGGAUCUCGGGCAGACAAUGGCCCUUCAUGGGGGACGAGUCCAAUGGUCGAGUCUACCAGGGAUCAUCCCUCGGCAGCAAGUUCUGGCUGGGCCUAUCACAGCUGCAGUACGGUCUGGCCCAACAUCCCAUAAUGACGGCCAUGGCCGGGAUUCUGUUCGUCAGAGUCCUGCUUCAUGUUGCCGGCUUCAAUCUGUGUGUUCUAAAAAUUCCGUGAGAGUAAUGGAAAUUAGACAACAGAGGAAAUAUAUUAAUAUUUUCUAGAAAUAAGCUCAGUAAACAAAUGCUCCUCAGCACCGAAUGAAACGUCAGCGUCCGUGAUGUUCUGUGCGGUUAUGUUGUGACCAAAAUGCAUGUAAAUUUGAUUACGAGUCUUUCCAAAUGUCUUUAGCUGAAAUACAUCCUACUUUUACGAG